Acanthosepion pharaonis is the source of this 106-nucleotide non-coding RNA. The record is from the annotation of a GenBank genome assembly. Lineage: Eukaryota; Metazoa; Mollusca; Cephalopoda; Sepiida; Sepiidae.
GCCACAUCAUGUUGAAACAUUGGUUCCCGUAUGAUCACCAAAGUUAAACGUCAAGCCUGGUCAGUGCCUAGAUGGGUGACCAUUUGGGAAUAACAGGUGCUGUAAG